RNAcentral lists this ribosomal RNA (161 nucleotides) under Microbotryum violaceum. Its description in RNAcentral is "5.8S ribosomal RNA". It matches the Rfam family "5.8S ribosomal RNA". Rfam says of the family: 5.8S ribosomal RNA (5.8S rRNA) is a component of the large subunit of the eukaryotic ribosome. It is transcribed by RNA polymerase I as part of the 45S precursor that also contains 18S and 28S rRNA. The record is from RNAcentral. Lineage: Eukaryota; Fungi; Basidiomycota; Microbotryomycetes; Microbotryales; Microbotryaceae.
AACUUUCAACAACGGUCUCUUGGCUCUNGCAUCGUUGANAGAACGCAGCGAAAUGUGGAUAAUUAAUGUGGAAUUGCAGAAUUCAGUGAAUCAUCGUAAUCUUUGAACGCAUCUUGCGCUUGCUUGGUAUUCCGGCAAGCAUGUCUGUUUGAGUGUUGUGA